RNAcentral lists this long non-coding RNA (2082 nucleotides) under Nicotiana tabacum (common tobacco). RNAcentral's name for it is "long non-coding RNA (NTAB_LNC000896)". The record is from RNAcentral. Lineage: Eukaryota; Viridiplantae; Streptophyta; Magnoliopsida; Solanales; Solanaceae.
UUCCUUUUUUGGUUACUAAUCCUGGGAUAUGUUAUCCCAAGAGUAAAAAUGUCAGGAUAACUUAUACAUGCCAGAGGGUAGAAUUGUAAUCCCAGGAUAAGUUAUCCCAUGAUAAAGCAGUAAAAUUGACAAUCCCAGGAUUAAUACGAUAUACCAAACAAUCAACAAGAAAUAAUACUAGGACAAUUAAUCCUCGCAUAAUUGAUCUCAUCAUAACUUGUCUUCAAACCAAACGAUCCCUUAUAGAUGUAUAAGUAUUGCAACUAAUUCUAAAAAAUAUUCUAUUUAUACUUUAAAUGAAUUUUUUAUUACAAUUUAAUUUUUUCUACAAUCUAAACUCAAAACAUUAUAUACACAAUAGCUUAGUUCCCAUUUUGUUUAUUUGUUGUUUUGCUAGCAAAAUUUUAUUAUUACUACAUUAGUUUUGUUUUUAGUUUUUUACAUAAUAUCGUGUAGGUAUUCAUUUGUGUGCAAAAAUAUAUGAAAAGUUAAAGGCAAAGUUACAAAUAAAAAAUAUAAACGAAAAAAAAGAAGAAAAAGAUUAAAGCCCAAAUCUCUCCAUUCCCUUAAGACCUAAAAUAUUUAGACUCCCAAACCCAUUCCCCAAAAAAAUAUCCGCACAUCUCCCACUCUAACCCUUCCCCACUCUAAGCAACUAUCCCUAAAACCCUCGUUCCUCUUGUUUUGGAAAACAGAAAUUGUCAAGGUAUGGCCACCCUAGUUUUUUUUUCCUCUUCUUAAUUAUUUCAAUUUUUGCCAUGCUUUCUUAGGAUUCUUGAUCGAGAAUAGUUCCUUUCAGUUUCAUCAUUACAUUGUGACAGUGAAAUGGCAAUCCCGACUUUAGCUAUAUUGAUAAGUGUCAAGAAUACUCCAACAGCUUAUAAGGAUGAAAUUAUGGGAUGCAUUAGCACAACCAUUUGUAGGCAUAUGCUCCAAAUUUAUGUUGCAGUAUGGUGAUUAGGUUUAUUCUUUUUAAGUAAACCCGAAUUUGUCUUUUCAGGCACUUGUGUUAUGGGCAUCAACGUACAAACAGACAAGUGUAAUAAUCAUGAGGUAUGUAUGAUACUUUACUCUUUCUGAAAACAAAAUCAAUUGGAUAUACUACCUAGUGAAGGAUGGAGUAUUUACAAAAUUCUUGUUAAAAGUUUUAGGACUUCUGAAAUUUUAUUUAGAAUAAUAAUAUUUUACUCUAGUAAUGUUUGUUUUUAUGAAACAAGUGUGAUGUUAAACUGGUUUAGCUUAUGCUCCUUUCUUGAGCAGAGAAAUAUGAGAAUAUAAUUUUUUUGGCAGUUACAAACUUAAGAAUUUACAAGACUUCAGACUUGGAAACACCUAGUUAUCAGAUACUAAGAAGAAAUGCAGCUUAUGGGAUUGGUAGUAUUUUCUUAUAGUGUUGUGCUUCAAACUAAGAACUGCUAAAUAAGACUUAUGUCUUGAACGGUUUGUAGUUUUUUGAUAUAUACAUUGCACAAAUAAUCUUAAGGUUUUAAAGAAGCAGGUUGUUGUUUCUGGCAGAAUCUUACCCUACAAAAGGAAAUGUUAUUUAGUUCAAAUGUGAUUGACAAGUCCCAACUAACUAAUGUACUAAACUUAUGGUGUGGAUGUCAUUUUUUUUAUAUACAGGUUAGAAUUUAUGACUCCUUCAUAGUUGUAGAAACAGAAGGUGGCAGUCCUGCAAGAUCAAGAGGGUAACAUGGCAAUCUUGCUGGAUCAGGAGGUGGUGUCACCAGGUGAAGUAAUCGAUGGAGUGCUAUAAGAUCUUAUUUUGUUGCGUCCUUGUUCUUGAUAUCCGCAAAAACAACAAUUUCUUUCACGCACAGGGUACAAAUACAAUCGGCUAAUGUCUUUCAAUUCGCCAUCGGAACCUGGUAUUAGAAAAGCAUUGGAGCAGUUAUGAGUUUUGAUUUCUCUUCACUGUCCGCUGAUGGUUACCAUCCCUAUCCAGACUCACAUUAGCUAGUUUUUUUAGAACUUUAUUAUUCUGUGUUGUAAAAGAGUUAUGUACUGUGGAUCUGUAUGAAAUUAUUCUUUUUCUUGUAAAAAAUAUCGUACUUUUGAGUAUAACAACAUUUUAGUAUUCUA